GAAGCAAGCAGCAUUCACUUUUAGUUCAACUCUAUCUGCUUUUUGAGACAGUGUAAUUCAUGUCUCUUUCAGAGCUGACGCUCACUGCUGCUCUUUGUGUUCUCCCUACCCUGGUGAAAGAGAGAGUUGAUUCAUUGACCUGCCAUUCUGACCCUGCCAAGGUACAUUAUGUACCGACGGUGACGUUUGUUGGGAGCCUGUUGACUGCGCAAGAAUUCACCGUGCAUCUGGAGGGCAUUUCCAUUCAAGAAAAUACCCUGUUGGAAGCCAUUGCGACCCAAAUGGCCCUGUACUGGGUGCUAAACAUUGCUUUCCAGAAGAAAGCGCAAAGAACUUUUCAUCUUUUAUGUGAAUUACUGGGAGUUCCAAGUGGUCUACGGGCUACACCACUCGUCCGUGUCGCUCACACACUUUUGAGCCAGUGAGCCUCUCAUGCCAAUGAGAGGCUCUCUUUAUAAGUGGUCAUAGUCAUACUAGUCAUAAUGCUAGUCAAUAAAGUAUUUUGGCACUUUUA
This 514-nucleotide long non-coding RNA is filed under the name Dermacentor andersoni. RNAcentral describes it as "uncharacterized LOC126530797". Lineage: Eukaryota; Metazoa; Arthropoda; Arachnida; Ixodida; Ixodidae. The record is from RNAcentral.